AACGCACAUUGCGCCCGCCAGCAUUCUGGCGGGCAUGCCUGUUCGAGCGUCAUCUCAACCCUCGCGCCCAAUUGCGGGCAGCGGUGUUGGGGACCGGCACCCGAAGGAAACCCCCCCGGGGGCCCUCCGAGCCGCCCCCUAAAUACAGUGGCGGUCUCGCUGCAGCCUCCCUUGCGUAGUAGCACACCUCGCACCGGAGCGCAGCGCGGCCACGCCGUAAAACCCCCGACUUUCAUGAGUUUGACCUCGGAUCAGGUAGGAAUACCCGCUGAACUUAA
This 278-nucleotide unclassified non-coding RNA is filed under the name Sydowia sp. Its description in RNAcentral is "partial contains 5.8S ribosomal RNA, internal transcribed spacer 2, and large subunit ribosomal RNA". Lineage: Eukaryota; Fungi; Ascomycota; Dothideomycetes; Dothideales; Dothioraceae. The record is from RNAcentral.